Nematolebias whitei (Rio pearlfish) is the source of this 136-nucleotide long non-coding RNA. RefSeq lists it as uncharacterized. Lineage: Eukaryota; Metazoa; Chordata; Actinopteri; Cyprinodontiformes; Rivulidae. The transcript is spliced from 3 exons. The record is from RefSeq and is a predicted model, not a curated record.
UCUGCAGGCUGAGACAUGAGCCUCUCCUGCUGAACGAAAUCGAUGCAGAACUGAGCAGACCAGUGUUAUCCUCCAGCAUCUCCCCUCCCCUCAGUAUUCUGAUCCUCUGUCUGUCACCCGGUUUGUGAGCAGCCAU